This 468-nucleotide ribosomal RNA is filed under the name uncultured bacterium. RNAcentral describes it as "partial 16S ribosomal RNA". It matches the Rfam family "Bacterial small subunit ribosomal RNA", at positions 28 to 507 of the family's 1533-position model. The record is from RNAcentral.
GACGAACGCUGGCGGCGUGCUUAACACAUGCAAGUCGAACGGAAAGGCCCUGCUUUUGUGGGGUGCUCGAGUGGCGAACGGGUGAGUAACACGUGAGUAACCUGCCCUUGACUUUGGGAUAACUUCAGGAAACUGGGGCUAAUACCGGAUAGGAGCUCCUGCUGCAUGGUGGGGGUUGGAAAGUUUCGGCGGUUGGGGAUGGACUCGCGGCUUAUCAGCUUGUUGGUGGGGUAGUGGCUUACCAAGGCUUUGACGGGUAGCCGGCCUGAGAGGGUGACCGGCCACAUUGGGACUGAGAUACGACCCAGACUCCUACGGGAGGCAGCAGUGGGGAAUAUUGCACAAUGGGCGGAAGCCUGAUGCAGCAACGCCGCGUGCGGGAUGACGGCCUUCGGGUUGUAAACCGCUUUCGCCUGUGACGAAGCGUGAGUGACGGUAAUGGGUAAAGAAGCACCGGCUAACUACAUG